CCUACGGAGAGCAGCAGUGGGGAAUAUUGGACAAUGGGCGAAAGCCUGAUCCAGCCAUGCCGCGUGUGUGAAGAAGGCCUUCGGGUUGUAAAGCACUUUCAGUGGGGAAGAAAGCCUUGGGGCUAAUACCCUCGAGGAAGGACAUCACCCACAGAAGAAGCACCGGCUAACUCCGUGCCAGCAGCCGCGGUAAUACGGAGGGUGCGAGCGUUAAUCGGAAUUACUGGGCGUAAAGCGCGCGUAGGCGGUCUGAUAAGCCGGUUGUGAAAGCCCCGGGCUCAACCUGGGAACGGCAUCCGGAACUGUCAGGCUAGAGUGCAGGAGAGGAAGGUAGAAUUCCCGGUGUAGCGGUGAAAUGCGUAGAGAUCGGGAGGAAUACCAGUGGCGAAGGCGGCCUUCUGGACUGACACUGACGCUGAGGUGCGAAAGCGUGGGUAGCAAACAGGAUUAGAUACCCCGGUAGUC
This 465-nucleotide ribosomal RNA is filed under the name Vreelandella stevensii. RNAcentral describes it as "partial 16S ribosomal RNA". It matches the Rfam family "Bacterial small subunit ribosomal RNA", at positions 338 to 795 of the family's 1533-position model. The record is from RNAcentral. Lineage: Bacteria; Pseudomonadati; Pseudomonadota; Gammaproteobacteria; Oceanospirillales; Halomonadaceae.